AUACGGAGGGGGCUAGCGUUGUUCGGAAUUACUGGGCGUAAAGCGCGUGUAGGUGGCUUGGAAAGUUGGGUGUGAAAGCCCGGGGCCCAACCCCGGAAUUGCACUCAAAACUUCCUCGCUAGAGUCUCGGAGAGGAAAGCGGAAUUCCCGGUGUAGAGGUGAAAUUCGUAGAUAUCGGGAGGAACACCAGUGGCGAAGGCGGCUUUCUGGACGAUGACUGACACUGAGACGCGAAAGCGUGGGGAGCAAACAGGAUUAGAAACCCCGGUAGUCC
Molecule: ribosomal RNA, 274 nt
Filed under: uncultured bacterium
Lineage: Bacteria
Description: partial 16S ribosomal RNA
Rfam family: Bacterial small subunit ribosomal RNA
Source: RNAcentral